RNAcentral lists this ribosomal RNA (392 nucleotides) under uncultured bacterium. RNAcentral describes it as "partial 16S ribosomal RNA". It matches the Rfam family "Bacterial small subunit ribosomal RNA", at positions 523 to 918 of the family's 1533-position model. The record is from RNAcentral.
AUACGUAGGUGGCAAGCGUUAUCCGGAAUUAUUGGGCGUAAAGAGGGAGCAGGCGGCAGCAAGGGUCUGUGGUGAAAGCCUGAAGCUUAACUUCAGUAAGCCAUAGAAACCAGGCAGCUAGAGUGCAGGAGAGGAUCGUGGAAUUCCAUGUGUAGCGGUGAAAUGCGUAGAUUUAUGGAGGAACACCAGUGGCGAAGGCGACGAUAUGGCCUGCAACGGGUGCUCAGUCCCGAAUGCGUGGGGAGCAAAGAGGAUUAGAUUCCAUAGUAGUCCACGCCGUAAACGAUGAGUACUAAGUGUUGGAUGUCAAAGUUCAGUGCUGCAGUUAACGCAAUAAGUACUCCGCCUGAGUAGUACGUUCGCAAGAAUGAAACUCAAAUGAAUUGGCGGGU